This 689-nucleotide long non-coding RNA is filed under the name Phoenix dactylifera (date palm). RNAcentral describes it as "long non-coding RNA (PDAC_LNC019389)". Lineage: Eukaryota; Viridiplantae; Streptophyta; Magnoliopsida; Arecales; Arecaceae. The record is from RNAcentral.
UGUGCACCAUUAAGGUCCGGGCUGCAGGGAAGCUGAUAAGUGCUAAAUAAUGCAUAAAUUAAUCUCUUACUCAUAGCACUUAUCAUUAUUUUUAUGCACAUAUUUUAAAUUUAAACAUGAAAAAAUGUGUUCCCCUUCAUCAUUGCAUUAUUAAAGUAAUUCGAGUUUGCUUGAUUUUAUUGGUCGAGUCUAAUGUAUGCAGGUCGAGUCAAACUCAUUUGGGAUGACCCCUGAACCCAAAUUGCAUGCACCCCAUGAAUCAGAUCCUCUCAGAUUCCGAUUCAACCGUCCAUCCCAAUUCUCCUGUUUCUUUCCCAACAUUUUUCCGAGUCCACCCCACGUCCACGUCAUCCUCAUUUUUCUCUUCAUCUAAGAAUUAACCUUCCAGCUUCACAUCUCAACCACUCGCAUUCAACUUCUCCCGUGUUCCCUCCGUGGUGAAACGGCAUCAGCCCAUUCUCCGGAUUAGAUCAUCUCCCGAAAAUCUCUUCAUCCUGUUUACGUGCACCCCACGUCCAAACCUCUUCCGCAUCCGCAGAUCAAGCAACCAGCCCUCAUCCCGUUCGUGAUCUUCUCUUCAUCCCGUUCGGAUUGGUUCCAUCUCCACGGAUUGCGUCUCAACCAAAUCCCAGCUUCCUCCCGCGAUGCAUGCCAAGCAAAGGAUCUUCUGAGCGCGUCCACUUUUUCCG